CAGCUUGCUGCUUCGCUGACGAGUGGCGGACGGGUGAGUAAUGUCUGGGAAACUGCCUGAUGGAGGGGGAUAACUACUGGAAACGGUAGCUAAUACCGCAUAAUGUCGCAAGACCAAAGAGGGGGACCUUCGGGCCUCUUGCCAUCGGAUGUGCCCAGAUGGGAUUAGCUUGUUGGUGGGGUAACGGCUCACCAAGGCGACGAUCCCUAGCUGGUCUGAGAGGAUGACCAGCCACACUGGAACUGAGACACGGUCCAGACUCCUACGGGAGGCAGCAGUGGGGAAUAUUGCACAAUGGGCGCAAGCCUGAUGCAGCCAUGCCGCGUGUAUGAAGAAGGCCUUCGGGUUGUAAAGUACUUUCAGCGGGGAGGAAGGGAGUAAAGUUAAUACCUUUGCUCAUUGACGUUA
Molecule: ribosomal RNA, 408 nt
Filed under: Shigella dysenteriae
Lineage: Bacteria; Pseudomonadati; Pseudomonadota; Gammaproteobacteria; Enterobacterales; Enterobacteriaceae
Description: bacterial SSU rRNA
Rfam family: Bacterial small subunit ribosomal RNA
Source: RNAcentral